Molecule: ribosomal RNA, 425 nt
Filed under: uncultured bacterium
Lineage: Bacteria
Description: partial 16S ribosomal RNA
Rfam family: Bacterial small subunit ribosomal RNA
Source: RNAcentral
GUGGGGAAUAUUGGACAAUGGGCGAAAGCCUGAUCCAGCAAUGCCGCGUGAGUGAAGAAGGCCUUAGGGUUGUAAAGCUCUUUUACCCGGGAUGAUAAUGACAGUACCGGGAGAAUAAGCUCCGGCUAACUCCGUGCCAGCAGCCGCGGUAAUACGGAGGGAGCUAGCGUUGUUCGGAAUCACUGGGCGUAAAGCGCACGUAGGCGGCUUUGUAAGUUAGAGGUGAAAGCCCGGGGCUCAACUCCGGAACUGCCUUUAAGACUGCAUCGCUUGAAUCUGGGAGAGGUAAGUGGAAUUCCGAGUGUAGAGGUGAAAUUCGUAGAUAUUCGGAAGAACACCAGUGGCGAAGGCGGCUUACUGGACCAGAAUUGACGCUGAGGUGCGAAAGCGUGGGGAGCAAACAGGAUUAGAAACCCCAGUAGUCC